Molecule: ribosomal RNA, 1031 nt
Filed under: Rana coreana (Korean brown frog)
Lineage: Eukaryota; Metazoa; Chordata; Amphibia; Anura; Ranidae
Description: partial large subunit ribosomal RNA
Rfam family: Bacterial large subunit ribosomal RNA
Source: RNAcentral
AGCUCACCUUAGUUCCUCUAUUAUUUUAAACAGACCCCAAAACUUAAGAGCUAUUCAAAUAAGGCACAGCUUAUUUGAAACAGGAUACAACCUAUAAUAUAGGGUAAGUAAGGACAAACCAAAUCAAGUGGGCCUAAAAGCAGCCACCUUUUAAAAAGCGUUAAAGCUUAACCUCUCCUAACCACAAUUUCACAACCCCCUACCAACCCCUCACCACUAUUGAACAAUUUUAUAUUUUUAUAAAAGCUAUUAUGCUAGAACUAGUAACAAGAAAUUGCCUUUCUCCUAAAUGUAAACAUAAACCAAAAUAGACCAUCUAUUGGUUAUUAACGUAAAUGCCAAACUACAGCAACACUUGCUAGAAAACCCUAUAGGCCCAAACGUUAACCUUACACCAGAACAUUCCAGGAAAGAUUAAAAGAAAGAGAAGGAACUCGGCAAAUUUUAACCCCGCCUGUUUACCAAAAACAUCGCCUCUUGCCAAUACAUGAGAGGUCCAGCCUGCCCAGUGACAAAGUUCAACGGCCGCGGUACCCUAACCGUGCGAAGGUAGCAUAAUCACUUGUUCUUUAAAUAGGGACUUGUAUCAACGGCACUACGAGGGUUAUACUGUCUCCUCUUUCCAAUCAGUGAAACUGAUCUCCCCGUGAAGAAGCGGGGAUUAUCAUAUAAGACGAGAAGACCCCAUGGAGCUUUAAACUCACCAUACACCUCUAUGUUACCAUAUCCCAUAGCACAAGAGACCUGUAUGUUAGUUUUAGGUUGGGGGGACCACGGAGCACAACUUAACCUCCAUAACAAAUGGGCUAACACCCUUAUCCACGAGACACAACUCUAAGAAUUACUAAACUAAUGCUUAUGACCCGAUAUUCGAUCAAUGAACCAAGUUACCCUGGGGAUAACAGCGCAAUCUACUUCAAGAGCUCAUAUCGACAAGUAGGUUUACGACCUCGAUGUUGGAUCAGGUAUCCCGGUGGUGCAACCGCUACCAAUGGUUCGUUUGUUCAACGAUCAAAACUCUACGUGAUCUG